RNAcentral lists this long non-coding RNA (222 nucleotides) under Elaeis guineensis (African oil palm). Its description in RNAcentral is "long non-coding RNA (EGUI_LNC014089)". The record is from RNAcentral. Lineage: Eukaryota; Viridiplantae; Streptophyta; Magnoliopsida; Arecales; Arecaceae.
UCAUAGGAAGAUAAUGAAGCAUGGUUGAUCGAGUUUUUACUCAAAAGUUUCAAACAACAUAUAAGCUUCAUCCUCACUCUUACUCAUGAAUGCACCUCCACAAGAUGUAUUAACCAUCUGUUUAUACUGAUCACCUAAACCCUCACAAAAGGCUUGAAUACUUUGUUAGUUGAUAGACCAUGGUGUGGAUAUUUUCUAAGAAGUUUCUUAAGUCUUUCCCAU